AAAUGUGAGGGUGAUCUGGCUGCGACAUCUGUCACCCCAUUAAUCGCCAGGGUUGAUUCGGCUGAUCUGGCUGGCUAGGCGGGUGUCCCCUUCCUCCCUCACCGCUCCAUGUGCAUCCCUCCCAAAGCUGCAUGCUCGGUGGAAGAGGACAACCAUCCCAGAUAGAAGGAGUGUACCAUUCUUUGGUCAAGGGUAUACAAUAGCUGCACUCCCCUGCUAGAACCUCCAAACCAGCUCGAGGGAUUAAUUGCCAUAUCUCCUCUCAGGUAGGCAUUGGUACUCAAGCAGUGAGAUGCCAUACCUCACCUCUGGAAAAUUAACUCCAGGA
This is a non-coding RNA of Podarcis lilfordi (Lilford's wall lizard), 328 nucleotides long. The record is from the annotation of a GenBank genome assembly. Lineage: Eukaryota; Metazoa; Chordata; Lepidosauria; Squamata; Lacertidae.